UACUUCAUUGGUUUCCUCUUUUAAAUCAUUUCUUAAAGCUAGCAAUUAAGCAAAAGUCCUUGACUUAAUUCACAGAGAAUCACUGUUUGAACGACUUUUCCCAACCAUUUGUUAAUUCUUUUCAUGCAACUUUUUCUUUCAGCGAUCCAUUCACUGUGGUACACGUACACAGCAAUAUCUGGUAUUGAAAAUGUUCCAGAGUUUGUGUCAGUGGGCUUUCUGGAUGGGGUGCCCUUAGUGUAUUAUGACAGCAACACUCGCAGAAUGAGUCCCCGACAGGAGUGGAUGGACAAGUCUGUGGAAUCUGUCUACUGGGAAAGAGAGACUCAGAUCUCCAUAGGAUUUCAAGAACUAUACAAGAUUAACAUCUAUAUUGCAAAGGAGCACUUCAAGCAGACUGGGGGUGUGCACACAUUACAGGUGAUAUACGGCUGUGAAUGGGAUGAUGAAAGUGGAGCUACAAGUGGGUUCAACCAGUUUGGAUAUGAUGGAGAGGACUUACUGUCUCUGGAUUUGAAGGAGCUGAGAUGGAUUUCACCAGUGCAGCAGGGGUUCAUCACCACACAGAAGUGGAACAAUGACAGAUUGUGGCUUGAGAAAAACAAACAUUUCUUCAGCACCGAGUGCACUGAGUAACUGAAGAAUCUCUCCUCAGGUGUCUGUGUUACAGAAGGAUUCCUCUUCUUCAGUCACGUGUCAUGCUACAGGUUUUUACCCCAGUGGAGUAACAAUCACCUGGAUGAAAAAUGGAAACUCUGAUCCAGUUGGCAUUGUUGGUGUUGUUGUUGUUGUUGUGAUCCUGUUGGUUGUCAUCAGUGUCAUCGGGUAUUUUGUGUAUCAGAAGAAAAGGAGGACAGGUGAGAGCAGACAUGUGACAU
Molecule: RNA transcript, 878 nt
Organism: Myxocyprinus asiaticus (Chinese sucker)
Lineage: Eukaryota; Metazoa; Chordata; Actinopteri; Cypriniformes; Catostomidae
Gene name: major histocompatibility complex class I-related gene protein-like
Exons: 4
Source: RefSeq, a predicted model, not a curated record